Molecule: long non-coding RNA, 899 nt
Organism: Pongo pygmaeus (Bornean orangutan)
Lineage: Eukaryota; Metazoa; Chordata; Mammalia; Primates; Hominidae
Exons: 3
Source: RefSeq, a predicted model, not a curated record
UGUAAAAUUUUAAUGAAUUUAUGAAGAUAAACACAAGAAUUUAAAGAAAUGUCCCAAUUCUAGUGGCCUAUUUAAAGAAGUAUUUUCUUUCUUCUGUCCUUAGAAGUAUUUGGGGAGAAUGUGACGGGAGCUACCCAAUGUUCCCGGGGAUAGGUGAGCUCUUAGGGUUCUGCGAUCUCCGCCCACCUGACUGGUCAUCUCUCAUUUCCUGUCAGCCCAUGAGGCUGGCUCUUUCGUGGUCUCCUGGGAUGGCUCACCCUUUCCUUUCUCCAAGCUUUUGUCCAAACAGUCACUUAUGUUUGAGAUAAGCUCUCACCUUCUGACAACCACAUCAUGUCUCUUCUUCUCUUUACAAUGAAAUUGAAAGUCAUUUUUUUCCCAGGAAGAUUUCUCCGACUAAGCUAGGAGAACUGACUCUCCAAAGAGAAUCUAUAAGAAUACCAGGCUGGGAUGCCAAAACUACAUGCUGAUACAAAGUAUUUGUAAAGAAAAAGGGCCCCAUAGGAAGACAGAGCAUGCUGCUUCUGCUCGUCAGUGUCAUGUUUUCGUGUGCAUCUUGGCUUUGAAAGGGAGGCUGCCUGAGGAUGGCUGAGCAGAUGACAUUGAGCCACAGGGCUGACCGCCUCGAGUUACCUUGACUCAGGACUUAAAGUUGUGUGAAAUUAACUUUACUUAAGGGAAGAAGGAAGAAAGGAACAAGGGAAGGAAGAAAGGAGAAAAGGAUGAAGAAAAGCAGAUCACUCUAAGAAUGACAGGUUUCCUGGGUGCUGUGAAGCAUACCUAAACAGAUAGCUGCAAAGAAGGAUCUUUUCUCUAUUUCAAGACAUGAACACUGCCCCGUCCCCACUCCUGGUAUUUUGUACCCUAAACAAAAUUGGGUAUUUGCCUGAUAUAACCUG